Nelumbo nucifera (sacred lotus) is the source of this 4430-nucleotide non-coding RNA. Lineage: Eukaryota; Viridiplantae; Streptophyta; Magnoliopsida; Proteales; Nelumbonaceae. The record is from RefSeq and is a predicted model, not a curated record.
UGGGAAAACAAUCAUGGGCCUGCAACUUGUCGUUGUUUAUCUGUUUAGGUAGUAAGAUGACACAACCCGAGGUUUUUGGAGAUUACCCUAUUCGAGGUCCGGCUGGGCAACGGCGGCCCGGUCAGAAAUGAUCAACCCUAGUCUCGAGUCAGCGAUCGGUUGAAAACAGUGGGAGCAACGAACAACAGGCUACAGAGCAGAGCAAAUAGCCAAAUCUUGUACCUGUAAGGCUGUAAGCCUGUAACUAGACGGAAAGUCUAAUAAACAACACCCUUUCUUCUUCUUCCUUUUACCGAUGAUAAUACCUCAUUCAGUCGUUUCUUUGUUUUUCUCAUCUUGGAUUCCUUUUUAAACGAGGAAUAGACGAAACGCGGAAGAACACGUAAAUAAGUUGCGAGAGGAGAAAAUUUCAUUACGUCUUUCAUCCGCGUCGUUUUUUUGUACCCUAAUUCUUUGAGUAAUUGAGUUCGUUGUUCCUUCAGACCAUGAUUUCAUUGUCUUCAUCUCUAUGAAAUUCUCUGCAAAUAAGGUCUUGUCUGGCAGAGCUGUCCCUAGUUUCUUGACCAUUUCCAUUCGCACAGCAGUGGAGGUUCUCGGGCUCCUGAUUCAUGUGAAAUGGCGGACCCGGACGAGGGCAUGGGCAGGUUGACGGCAUCACCGCUGGAGUUCGCUGGUGAUUCUACAGCAGCUCCUCCUACUUCUACUGCCUCGUCGUCAUCUGCUUCUGCUUCUUAUUCGUCUGUUGGUUCUGAGAACAUUCGAGGGGUUUCUAGCUAUGCUAUCAAUCAGGGCGAUCAGUUCCUCAAGGAAGCUGUGCAGAACCCUGGCGAGCAUCUAUCGAUUGGCAUAUGUAGUAAUAUAAAAACUAAAAGUUCUAGAACUGAUGCACAAAGAGAAAGACGAAGACUGUUACAACGUAUACGUCGUCAAAAAUUGACUGAUGAGGAAAGAAGAAAUUUACUUGAGCGGAGACGCGAAAAGAAAUUAAAUGAGCAGCAGAGAGAAAGCCAUCGAAUAAGAAAUAGAUUGAGAUAUCAAUCUCUGACAGAUGAACAAAGAAAGCGUAUAAAUGAGGCUAGGAGGAGGAGGAGACAUGCCCUAACGGCUGAAAAAUCUCUACCUAGCAAAGGCGAAAUACAAAUUUUGCUAACCGAAGGAAGAAUGCGCUUAACUGAAUUACGUCGUUACGCUCGGUGUACAACUCAUCCCCCAAUACAAUCUAUAACUAUGGAAAAUUGUAUUGGGGAUCAACAUCUUGGACAAGAAGUAGGUAUUAAAAAUGGUGGUAUAUCUUCACAGAUAGAAGGGAUGGUUGGAGGUAAGAAAAUGUUAAUGCUAUUAAUGCAGCGAACAACAUUGGAGAUGAGAUUCAAACAUGUGCAUCAUGAUGGAAAGAUCUUCAUGGUUCAUUAAGAGGAUAUUUUGAUUCAAUUUCUCGCAGGCUUUUAGUUAAGGUUCUAACCCUCAAUGAGAGCAUUAAUUUGAUCAAUUAAGAAAUUGCUUGGUAGAUUGUAAAUUGCAUAAUCUUUUUAUAUGGUAAACAAUGUAAAUUGCAUAAGUUGAAAAAGGGUGUCUGUUGCUGCAGCUUUGGUUUUUUUGUUUUAGUUGGGGGGUUUAUUCUUUAUGUAUUCUUUUUAAUCGUUAGUCUGAUCAAUUGACCGAUUUGAUGAGAUAUUGAUGUCUAUACUCUAUAGUCGAAGCUGGGCAUUCUGGCCAAUCUUGAUCUCUCUAUAUAAAUAGACAACAUUUGCAUAUAGUUUGGUAAUUUUAUGGGUGCAUACUGAUGAAUCACUCAUUAACCCCACCGCGAAGAGGGAGAGAGAGUAGUGUGGUGGGCCAGUUUGGAUUUCUAAGAAAAACCGGUGUUUUCAGCUGGAGUACUCGGAUGGUUGGAUUAAUGACAUGGUCAUAAUCCUGGUUCUGACUUGCCGUUAGGGCUGCAAUUGAUAUCCAUUUACCUGAGUUUGAAUCCGUUUAAGAGAGAUUCAAAUUUCAUCAGUUUGAAAUUAGAUCGAAUCUGGAUCCAAUGCGUUAUUUUUAACCUGUCAUUGACGCAGUUGGUGGGAUGAAUCCAUAGCGUUAUUUUAAACCUGUCAUUGAUCCAGUUGGUUGGAUAGGUGAUCCAUUGAUUCCAUUCACAAUUAUAAUUCGGGCUUUAUCUUUCAUUGAUCCAUUUGGUCGGGUAGAUGAUCCAUUAACAAUUCCAAUUCCGUCUUUCUUAAACCUAAAGAAAUCAUUGACUUGAUCAAAGAUUUUGACCUUGAUGGAAGGACCAUCAAUCCGAUUGACCCAUUCAUCACAGGUUGACACGUUGACCCAGAUGGCCGAAUUACUUACCAGAGGGAAAAAGGGAUUCAAUGUCCGGGUCGGGUUUUCUAAUUUGAGACAAAAUUAGCGUUCUCCUGGAACCGGGUCAAACGGUCGGAUCUCCCGAGACGGCGAUUGGUUGAGAUUCUUGAGAAACUGGAAACGUCAGUUGAUCAGUGCGCUUUUCCAAAUCCUGUACCUGCGCGCAAUCAGAUGGAAAGUCUAAUGAACACUUUCUUCUUCCUCUGUAUCGAUGAAAACACUUCUAUCAGUCGUUUCUUAAUGCUCAUCUUAGAUUCCAUUUUAAACGAGCAAUAGACGAAAGAACACGUUAUGUAGAUGCUGUGAGAGAGAUAAAGAAAGAGAAUUACAUGCCAUUAUCAUCUUACUAUAUCCUCUUUCAUCCGCGUUGGUUUUCUGUACCCUAAUUCUUCUAGUUCGUUAUUCCUUCUGACCGUGAUUGCGUUUAUCAUCGUCCCCAUGGAAUUUUCUGCAAUUAGGGUUUGUCUGGCAGAGCUAGCCCGAGUUUCAUGACCCUCUCCAUUCCCAAGCCCUAGAAUUUUCCGGCGAUGGAGGGCUCUGUGGAGGAUUUCGGGGCAGCUGAUUCAUGUGAAAUUGCGGAUCGAGAAGAAAGCAUCUACAGGUUGAUGAUCUCCUUCCAGGAGAAUUCGACGACGGCACCACCUGUGGAGUUCGCCGAUGAUUCUGCAGUACCUCCUUUUCCUACUUCUACUGCUUCUUCCGUCUCGUCGUUUUCUGCUUCUGCUUCUUCUUCUUCUUCGUCUGUUGGGUCUGAGAAGAUUCGAGAGGUUUCUGACAAUGUUAUCAAUCAGGAUGAUCAGUUCCUCAAGGAAGCUAUGCAGAUUCCUGGAGAGCAGCUAUCGGAACCAUCAAUUGGCAUAUGCAACAAUAUAAAAACUAAAAGUUCUAGAACUGAUGCACAAAGAGAAAGACGAAGACUGUUGCAACGUAUACGUCGUCAGCAAAUGACUGAUGAGCAAAGAAGAAUUUUACUUGAACGGAGACGCCAAAAGAAAUUAAAUGAGCAGCAGAGGGAAAGUCAUCGAGUAAGAAAUAGAUUAAGACAUCGAUCCCUGACUGAUGAACAAAGAAAACGCAUUAAUGAAGCUAGAAGAAGAAGGAUGCAAUCAUUGACAGAUGAACAAAGAGAGUGCAUAAAUGAAGCUCGAAGAAGAAGGAGACAAUCCCUUACAGCUGAACAAAGAGAACAUGUAAAUGAGGCUCGAAGAAAAAGGAGACAAGUAUUACAUGCAAACAAAGAAGAAUGGGAAGUACAUAAUGAAAUUAAUGGACCAUAUCAACACGAUGGUAGCUCUUUAAGAUUGCAAAGCAUAGUAGGGUUAAAUAUGUUAGAACAAUCUCGUCCUAACGAAGGGGCAAUACAAAUUUUGGUAACUGAAGGAAGAAUCCGCCUAACUGAAUUGCGUCGCCGUGCUCGGUGUACAAUUCAUGCCCCAAUGCAAUCUAUAAAUAUGGAAAGUUGUAUUGAGGAAUAAAAUAUUGGACAAGAAGUUGGUAUUAAAAAUGGUCGUAUCUCUUCACAAAUAGAAGGGAUGGUUGAAGGUGAGAUGUGUUCUUAACUAGUUUAUCUUAUGUUUAAUAUUUUUGUAAGGAUAUUGCUAAUUUUACAUUUUCCUUUUGUAGAAAAUAUUGCUAUUGAUGCAGGGAAUAUAUUAAGAGAUGAAAUUCAAACAACYCAUGUGCAUCAUGAUGGAAAGGCCUUCAUGGUUCAUUAAGACAAUAUUUGGUUCAUUUUUCUCUUGGUUUAGUUAAGAUUCUAACUGUCAAGGAGACCGUAAACUUGAUCGAUUAAGAAACUGUUUGGGAGAUUGUAAAUUGCAUGAUCAAGAAGUUGAAAAAUGAGAUCCAUUGCUGCAGUCACCGCUCCAUUCAAGGUGGCAAGGUUCUCUAGGGGUUUUCUUGAAGGAUCCAAUCAUUCAUUAUGACUUGAUAAACAGGUUAUUCUUGUAUUGUAUUUUCUACAUUCCUCUUGUAUAUGUUGAUACGGUUUUCCAAUUCUUGAACCUGAUUUUUGGUUGUUUAGAUUGGGUUUCUGAUUUAUAGGAUAUUGGGUCUUCAAUUGUCAUUUGAUCCAAUUUUCA